Molecule: ribosomal RNA, 1479 nt
Filed under: metagenome
Description: bacterial SSU rRNA
Rfam family: Bacterial small subunit ribosomal RNA
Source: RNAcentral
AGAGUUUGAUCCUGGCUCAGAACGAACGCUGGCGGCGCGCUUCACACAUGCAAGUCGGGCGAGAAAUUCCCCGCUUGCGGGGGAGAGUAAAGCGGCGAACGGGUGCGUAACACGUGGGCAACCUCCCUUCAGUUGGGGAUAAGCCUUCGAAAGAAGGUCUAAUACCGAAUAACAUCUUUUGGCGGCAUCGCCUGAAGAUCAAAGGCUUCGGUCGCUGAGGGAUGGGCCCGCGGUCCAUUAGCUUGUUGGUGGGGUAAUGGCCUACCAAGGCUGCGAUGGAUAGCCGACCUGAGAGGGUGGCCGGCCACACUGGGACUGAGAUACGGCCCAGACUCCUACGGGAGGCAGCAGUAGGGAAUAUUGCGCAAUGGGCGAAAGCCUGACGCAGCGACGCCGCGUGGAUGAUGAAGCUUUUCGGAGUGUAAAAUCCUUUCAGUGGGGACGAACCGGUUCUUCGGAGCCCUGACGGUACCCACAGAAGAAGCACCGGCUAACUCCGUGCCAGCAGCCGCGGUAAUACGGAGGGUGCAAGCGUUGUUCGGAUUUACUGGGCGUAAAGGGUGCGUAGGCGGGUCGGCAGGUCGGAUGUGAAAACCCCACGGCUUAACCGGGGGCCUGCACUCGAAACCGCCGAUCUUGAGUACGGGAGAGGAAAGCGGAAUUCCUGGUGUAGCGGUGAAAUGCAUAGAUAUUACAUAGAACACCAAUUGCGAAGGCAGCUCACUAAGCUAUCACUGACGCUGAGGCACGAAAGCGUGGGGAGCGAACAGGAUUAGAUACCCUGGUAGUCCACGCCGUAAACGAUGAUCACUCGUUGUUGGCAAUACAUCGUCAGCGACUGAGCGAAAGCAUUAAGUGAUCCACCUGGGGAGUACGGUCGCAGGAUUGAAACUCAAAGGAAUUGACGGGGGCCCGCACAAGCGGAGGAACAUGUGGUUUAAUUCGAUGAUACGCGAGGAACCUUACCUGGGCUUAAAUGCAAAUCGACGUACCGGGAAACUGGUACUCCCUUCGGGGCGAAUUGCAAGGUGCUGCAUGGCUGUCGUCAGCUCGUGCCGUGAGGUGUCGGGUUAAGUCCCAUAACGAGCGCAACCCCUAUCGUUAGUUCCAGCGGAUAAUGCCGGGGACUCUAACGAAACUGCCAGUGUAAACUGUGAGGAAGGUGGGGAUGACGUCAAGUCAGCACGGCCCUUAUGUCCAGGGCUACACACGUGUUACAAUGGCCGGUACAGAGGGCAGCUACCUGGUGACAGGAUGCAAAUCUCGAAAACCGGUCUCAGUUCGGAUCGAAGUCUGCAACUCGACUUCGUGAAGGUGGAUUCGCUAGUAAUCGCGCAUCAGCCACGGCGCGGUGAAUACGUUCCCGGGCCUUGUACACACCGCCCGUCAAGCCAUGGAAGCUGGGGAUACCUGAAGUCUGUAACCGCAAGGAGCGGCCUAAGGUAAAACUAGUGACUGGGGCUAAGUCGUAACAAGGUA